AGGAAGAGAACCUGCUUCUCUAGGCCGAUCAGAUCACCGGAGAGGAGGGCCCCACCCGGACUUGUGUGUUUGCCCUGCUAUGUGUAUUCAGCCAGCAGGCUCCGGACCAGGAGGCAAAGGGCAGGGAGCCGGGCUCAGUUGACCACCUGGCACCAGGCAGCACCAGUUGGAGACAAGGCGCGCUGAGCUUCUAGAAGCAUCUCCAGGUGACACCAGGGGACUGAAGACACUCCCACCGGGGACUCGACAGGAAUAAUGGGCAACCAAAUGAGUGUCCCACAAAGAGUCGAAGACCAAGAGAAUGAAUCAGAGAUAGACACUAACAAGGCGGCGUCCGAGAGUAGAUGCGCACAAAACGGGGUGCCGGUGAUCAUAUCAACCCGCGACAUUCCUUGCUAUGAUGAAGG
This is a long non-coding RNA of Herpailurus yagouaroundi (jaguarundi), 407 nucleotides long. RefSeq lists it as uncharacterized. The record is from RefSeq and is a predicted model, not a curated record. The transcript is spliced from 3 exons. Lineage: Eukaryota; Metazoa; Chordata; Mammalia; Carnivora; Felidae.